ACCUGGCUGGCUCAGUAGGUAGAGCGUGUGACUCUUGAUCUUGGGGUUGUGGGUUCAAGCCCCAUGUUAGGUG
RNAcentral lists this transfer RNA (73 nucleotides) under Ailuropoda melanoleuca (giant panda). It matches the Rfam family "tRNA". Rfam says of the family: Transfer RNA (tRNA) molecules are approximately 80 nucleotides in length. Their secondary structure includes four short double-helical elements and three loops (D, anti-codon, and T loops). Further hydrogen bonds mediate the characteristic L-shaped molecular structure. tRNAs have two regions of fundamental functional importance: the anti-codon, which is responsible for specific mRNA codon recognition, and the 3' end, to which the tRNAs corresponding amino acid is attached (by aminoacyl-tRNA synthetases). tRNAs cope with the degeneracy of the genetic code in two manners: having more than one tRNA (with a specific anti-codon) for a particular amino acid; and 'wobble' base-pairing, i.e. permitting non-standard base-pairing at the 3rd anti-codon position. Lineage: Eukaryota; Metazoa; Chordata; Mammalia; Carnivora; Ursidae. The record is from Rfam by way of RNAcentral.